AGUAUUUAGGUGACAUACACACCUGUCUGAGAAGGCACGGAUUGAAACUGAAUGUAAAGAAACAGCAUGGAAGUGUGACAAAGUCAUCUCCCCUGUUCUUUACUGCCCUCCAGUUACUGAAUCUGGGAACCAAGAACUCAGAACUGGACUGAGAAUAUCAUAAAAGCACAAAAAGGAUCCGUCCCUUCUAGAACUGGGCAACACUUUGAAUUCAGAAGCGAGCUUUUGGAGGCCUGGUCUUUUCUCCCCUAUGGAAAGAAUGGAAGGUCAAUGGAAAAGGUGUAAAGAGCUUUCCUGAUGUGUUUCCUCUCAUAGCUUUCUCUUGGUUUUAAUGGGAGGGAACUUGAAGGAAGGUAGAACGAAGCUGAUGUUUUCCAAGCAGCAUUGGAACAGAGCGGAUGACAGGAGUUACUGACUGGGAAGCUACUCCAAGGGAUGGAAGAAGAUAUUUGCAAGGAACUACCCUUCUUGCUUAGCACAUAGGUAUUGGUUUUGAUCAACUGCAGAAGAGAUGGAGCUGAGUUUUAGCAAGAGGCCUCAGAACAAUGUCAAACUAGCAUGUUAAGCAGCCAUGCCAGAAAACUGCAGGAUCUACGGUCUGCAUGUUAAGUGCCUUGUCACCCCACAGAAAACUGCAAAGGUACUCUCACCAGAGCCAGUCUCAACGCUGACAACGUUCAUACUCCCACAAGAGGGCAGUAGGCAAGCACUGUACAGGAAAUCCCCUUUGCACUGGAUUUUAUUUAAUAUCAACCUUAUAAUUCAAUUCUGCUUAUUAAUCAUAGGGAAAUCCGUACAAACUGUCAGAGUAAUUUAAUGCAUAAUAUGAAAUUAAUCCCAUUUUACAGCUACUAUACUGAGAAAUUACUUUUUAGCUAAUUUGUACUCAUAAUUACAUAAGUUUAAACAUAAGUUUAUGCCUCCUGGUAUCUUCCACCUGUGUCCCGAGAUGUGAGGUUCUUUGCUGUCACAGUUGUAAAUAAAUAUUCUGGGAUGCUGUCCCAGCAUAGGAAAUUCAUGUAGGCGAAAUGAAGCACUUUCUGAAGCAAAGAAGACAAAAGAUUGAUUGUCUAGCUAGAAAUCAGCCUGGUAAUCUCCCACGUGGUACCCUUCCCUGCCUGAAGCUCUGCACGUUACUGCAGUUCCUCCUGAUCCAUCUCCUGCGGCAGCCAGGACCAGCCUCAGUCACCCCCUUCACACUGCUCCAGCCCUAAACUUCAUGGCAUAGCAAGGUAGCAUCUGCACUGGUGGAGUGGCAUGGCCUUGCGAGUCAUCUCAGUGUGACUUGCUGGAUCUUACCCUCUGUCCACCCAGGCAGCACGAAACUUCUGCAGCUGUAAGACUUUUGAACAAAGAAAACUUUUUCUCAGCACAAGUGGCAUCUAAGGCUGCCUUUCCCACAGGGGCACUCUUAGUACCGGAAAAAAAGGCCUUUGUGAAGGGGUUUCACUCCCAUUGUCUUUUUGGCCAUCAUUUCAACCUACGAGGGCAACCUUCAUAAUAAAAUACCUGGGCAUUUCUCACCAGCAUGUGUCUUACUUUCAAAAUAAUUAUACAUUUGGGAUUUUCUGUGCUGAGAGAAAAGUUUGUUCCAAAGAAGUUAGAUGGUUUUGGAUGCUUGCAGUUCUAAAACAGCUGUGAACCAUGCCUAGUUGAACGUCAUCUGUUCGCAAACAAGACUGUGUUUUCUUCUACAUAGAAGUGAGCUGUUUCAGCAAUGUUUAAUCAACCAGCACUGACCUUUCUUCUCAAAUGCCACAAAUUUGUUUUCCAUAAAUGUUUAACUACUUAUUUCUAAAGGUAAAGGUUCACAACAUGUAAAACCUACUUUUAACCUUACACUGAUUUUGUAGUUACCACAUAGCAUGGUUGCUGUAGGGCUGCAUAUGUGUUUUAGGAGGUGAAAAUUUUUCAUUUGUAUUCCAAACGUCUUAUGACACUUGUGUUAUCUCCUUUUUCGUUUUGCUUAUGACGUCUUUCUGUAUUGUCCUAAGAUAAGUGAAAAUACUGACAAAGAGGAAAAAAAUUAAGCCCAU
Long non-coding RNA from Aquila chrysaetos chrysaetos, 2036 nucleotides. The record is from Ensembl. Lineage: Eukaryota; Metazoa; Chordata; Aves; Accipitriformes; Accipitridae.